AAUAAAUCAAAUAAAAAGAGUCCCAUCCCAAAAUAAAAAUUUUCAUGCAUCCCAAUUUUUUCUGGAGCUUUACACCCAGCCUUUUUUAACAAGCCACAACAAGCCCAAAAUGCUGCCCUACAAACCAAGCAAUUAUUCCAUUGUAUUCUUCACAUAUUCUUGGACGAUGACUGGAAUUGUGGAUUUAGCAGCGUAAAAGGGUGCAAAAACUGGCUCAAUGCAAUGUUCGGCCAGUCGGACAAAAACCAAAUUGACCAAAGUUAAUUUAACCAAUGUAAACAGAACGAGCACGGCGAAGCUUGUGUGUGGGGAGGAAUGUUGAGAAACUUGGGAUGAAAGUGCGAGCAAAUGCCGUAGUGAAAAUCAAUUGGUGCGCCAACAAACGCUUCAAUCAAUUUUACUUUGGCAAACAGUGAGUGCAAAAUAAAUCACAUCAGUCGAGUCCAA
Non-coding RNA from Drosophila virilis, 447 nucleotides. The record is from RefSeq and is a predicted model, not a curated record. NCBI's taxonomy places the organism in Eukaryota, Metazoa, Arthropoda, Insecta, Diptera, Drosophilidae.